AUCGGGCUGGGAGACAGUGUCAGGUGGGCAGUUUGACUGGGGCGGUCGCCUCCUAAAGAGUAACGGAGGCGCCCAAAGGUUCCCUCAGAAUGGUUGGAAAUCAUUCGUAGAGUGUAAAGGCACAAGGGAGCUUGACUGCGAGACCUACAAGUCGAGCAGGGACGAAAGUCGGGCUUAGUGAUCCGGUGGUUCCGCAUGGAAGGGCCAUCGCUCAACGGAUAAAAGCUACCCCGGGGAUAACAGGCUUAUCUCCCCCAAGAGUCCACAUCGACGGGGAGGUUUGGCACCUCGAUGUCGGCUCAUCGCAUCCUGGGGCUGUAGUCGGUCCCAAGGGUUGGGCUGUUCGCCCAUUAAAGCGGUACGCGAGCUGGGUUCAGAACGUCGUGAGACAGUUCGGUCCCUAUCCGUCGUGGGCGUAGGAAAUUUGAGAGGAGCUGUCCUUAGUACGAGAGGACCGGGAUGGACACACCGCUGGUGUACCAGUUGUCUUGCCAAAGGCAUCGCUGGGUAGCUAUGUGUGGACGGGAUAAGUGCUGAAAGCAUCUAAGCAUGAAGCCCCCCUCAAGAUGAGAUUUCCCAUAGCGCAAGCUAGUAAGAUCCCUGAAAGAUGAUCAGGUUGAUAGGUCAGAGGUGGAAGCACGG
This 642-nucleotide ribosomal RNA is filed under the name Bacillus sp. CBEL-1. RNAcentral describes it as "partial 23S ribosomal RNA". It matches the Rfam family "Bacterial large subunit ribosomal RNA", at positions 2238 to 2878 of the family's 2925-position model. The record is from RNAcentral. Lineage: Bacteria; Bacillati; Bacillota; Bacilli; Caryophanales; Bacillaceae. RNAcentral also lists the same sequence under 2 other names.